This 494-nucleotide ribosomal RNA is filed under the name uncultured bacterium. RNAcentral describes it as "partial 16S ribosomal RNA". It matches the Rfam family "Bacterial small subunit ribosomal RNA", at positions 28 to 507 of the family's 1533-position model. The record is from RNAcentral.
GACGAACGCUGGCGGCGUGCUUAACACAUGCAAGUCGAACGGAAAGGCCUGCUUUCCCUUGUGGAUUGCGGGUACUCGAGUGGCGAACGGGUGAGUAACACGUGAGUGAUCUGCCCCCAACUUGGGUAUAAGCCUGGGAAACUGGGUCUAAUUCCCGAUAGGACUGCAGGGUGGUGCCUGUGGUGGAAAACGAUUUUCUAGUGGUUGGGGAUGAGCUCGCGGCCUAUCAGCUUGUUGGUGGGGUAAUGGCCUACCAAGGCGGCGACGGGUAGCCGGCCUGAGAGGGUGGACGGCCACAUUGGGACUGGGAUACGGCCCAGACGCCUACGGGAGGCAGCGGUGGGGAAUAUUGCACAAUGGGCGGAAGCCUGAUGCAGCGACGCCGCGUGGGGGAUGACGGCAUUCGGGUUGUAAACUCCUUUGGACCGCGAGGAAGCCACCUGGUUGGAAGGGUGGUGACGGUAGUGGUAGAAGAAGCACCGGCUAACUACGUG